RNAcentral lists this ribosomal RNA (400 nucleotides) under uncultured bacterium. RNAcentral describes it as "bacterial SSU rRNA". It matches the Rfam family "Bacterial small subunit ribosomal RNA", at positions 355 to 770 of the family's 1533-position model. The record is from RNAcentral.
UGAGGAAUUUUGGACAAUGAGCGCAAGCUUGAUCCAGCAAUGUUACGUGAGUGAAGAAAGUUAUGUGAAUUGUAAAACUCUAAGUUUGAAGAAGAUAAUGACGGUAUUCAAAUGAAUAAUCCCGACUAACUUCGUGCCAGCAGUCGCGGUAAUACGAAGGGGAUAAGCGUUACUCAGCAUUAUUGGGCGUAAAGGGUGCGUAGGUGGUUUAAUAAGUUAAUACGAAAAUCCAAGACAUUUAAUUUUUGUAAAGUGAUUAAUACUGUUAAACUAGAGUGUAAAAGAGGAUAGUAGUAUUCUUAGUGUAGAGGUAAAAUUCGUAAAUAUUAAGAGGACUAUCAAUAGGCGAAGGCAACUAUCUGGUUUAUUCUGACGCUGAGGCACGAAAGCAUGGGGAGCA